Molecule: ribosomal RNA, 78 nt
Filed under: Brevibacillus laterosporus
Lineage: Bacteria; Bacillati; Bacillota; Bacilli; Caryophanales; Paenibacillaceae
Description: partial 16S ribosomal RNA
Rfam family: Bacterial small subunit ribosomal RNA (bases 1-69)
Source: RNAcentral
GGGUAGAUAACUGGGGUGAAGUCGUAACAAGGUAUCCGUACCGGAAGGUGCGGAUGGAUCACCUCCUUUCUAUGGAGA